Non-coding RNA from Gossypium raimondii (Peruvian cotton), 123 nucleotides. The record is from Rfam. Lineage: Eukaryota; Viridiplantae; Streptophyta; Magnoliopsida; Malvales; Malvaceae.
CUGUUUGCUGCUGCAGCAUUAUCAAGAUUCACAAGAGGCGUUUUAGGGUCUUUUUUGAUUGAUUGAUCAAUCAAUAAGCCCUUUUAUGAUUGAGAAUCUUGAUGAUGCUGCAGUGGCAAUAAG